UACGAAGGGUGCAAGCGUUGUCCGGAAUUAUUGGGCGUAAAGAGCUCGUAGGCGGUCUGUCGCGUCGGCUGUGAAAACCCGGAGCUCAACUCCGGGCCUGCAGUCGAUACGGGCAGACUGGAGUUCGGCAGGGGAGACUGGAAUUCCUGGUGUAGCGGUGAAAUGCGCAGAUAUCAGGAGGAACACCGGUGGCGAAGGCGGGUCUCUGGGCCGAUACUGACGCUGAGGAGCGAAAGCGUGGGGAGCGAACAGG
Molecule: ribosomal RNA, 253 nt
Filed under: uncultured bacterium
Lineage: Bacteria
Description: partial 16S ribosomal RNA
Rfam family: Bacterial small subunit ribosomal RNA
Source: RNAcentral